AUUGAACGCUGGCGGCAUGCCUUACACAUGCAAGUCGAACGGCAGCACGGACUUCGGUCUGGUGGCGAGUGGCGAACGGGUGAGUAAUGCAUCGGAACGUGCCAUUGAGUGGGGGAUAACGUAGCGAAAGUUGCGCUAAUACCGCAUAUUCUGUGAGCAGGAAAGCAGGGGACCGCAAGGCCUUGCGCUCUUUGAGCGGCCGAUGUCAGAUUAGCUAGUUGGUGAGGUAAAGGCUUACCAAGGCGACGAUCUGUAGCGGGUCUGAGAGGAUGAUCCGCCACACUGGAACUGAGACACGGUCCAGACUCCUACGGGAGGCAGCAGUGGGGAAUUUUGGACAAUGGGCGCAAGCCUGAUCCAGCCAUGCCGCGUGCGGGAAGAAGGCCUCGGU
This 391-nucleotide ribosomal RNA is filed under the name uncultured bacterium. RNAcentral's name for it is "bacterial SSU rRNA". It matches the Rfam family "Bacterial small subunit ribosomal RNA", at positions 30 to 423 of the family's 1533-position model. The record is from RNAcentral.